RNAcentral lists this ribosomal RNA (397 nucleotides) under uncultured bacterium. Its description in RNAcentral is "partial 16S ribosomal RNA". It matches the Rfam family "Bacterial small subunit ribosomal RNA", at positions 523 to 918 of the family's 1533-position model. The record is from RNAcentral.
AUACGUAGGUGACAAGCGUUAUCCGGAUUUACUGGGCGUAAAGGGCGUGUAGGCGGUCUUGCAAGUCAGAAGUGAAAUUCCUGAGCUCAACUCGGGCGCUGCUUCUGAAACUGCAGGACUUGAGUGCUGGAGGGGAUAGCGGAAUUCCUAGUGGAGCGGUAAAAUGCGCAGAUAUUAGGAAGAACACCGGUGGCGAAGGCGGCUAUCUGGACAGUAACUGACGCUGAGGCGCGAAAGCGUGGGGAGCAAACAGGAUUAGAUACCCUGGUAGUCCACGCCGUAAACGAUGAAAACUAGGUGUAGGGGGUAUCGACUCCCUCUGUGCCGCAGUUAACACAAUAAGUAUUCCGCCUGGGGAGUACGGCCGCAAGGUUGAAACUCAAAUGAAUUGACGGGG